Molecule: ribosomal RNA, 661 nt
Filed under: uncultured Lachnospiraceae bacterium
Lineage: Bacteria; Bacillati; Bacillota; Clostridia; Lachnospirales; Lachnospiraceae
Description: bacterial SSU rRNA
Rfam family: Bacterial small subunit ribosomal RNA
Source: RNAcentral
UACUUUAUUGAAACUUCGGUCGAUUUAAUUUAAUUCUAGUGGCGGACGGGUGAGUAACGCGUGGGUAACCUGCCUUAUACAGGGGGAUAACAGUCAGAAAUGGCUGCUAAUACCGCAUAAGCGCACAGAGCUGCAUGGCUCGGUGUGAAAAACUCCGGUGGUAUAAGAUGGACCCGCGUUGGAUUAGCUGGUUGGUGGGGUAACGGCCCACCAAGGCGACGAUCCAUAGCCGGCCUGAGAGGGUGAACGGCCACAUUGGGACUGAGACACGACCCAGACUCCUACGGGAGGCAGCAGUGGGGAAUAUUGCACAAUGGGGGAAACCCUGAUGCAGCGACGCCGCGUGAAGGAAGAAGUAUCUCGGUAUGUAAACUUCUAUCAGCAGGGAAGAUAGUGACGGUACCUGACUAAGAAGCCCCGGCUAACUACGUGCCAGCAGCCGCGGUAAUACGUAGGGGGCAAGCGUUAUCCGGAUUUACUGGGUGUAAAGGGAGCGUAGACGGUGUGGCAAGUCUGAUGUGAAAGGCAUGGGCUCAACCUGUGGACUGCAUUGGAAACUGUCAUACUUGAGUGCCGGAGGGGUAAGCGGAAUUCCUAGUGUAGCGGUGAAAUGCGUAGAUAUUAGGAGGACACCAGUGGCGAAGGCGGCUUACUGGACGGU